Non-coding RNA from Schistosoma margrebowiei, 46 nucleotides. The record is from Rfam. NCBI's taxonomy places the organism in Eukaryota, Metazoa, Platyhelminthes, Trematoda, Strigeidida, Schistosomatidae.
GCACUGCUGAGGAGUCCUACGAUAGGGCGAAACGGCCGUCCAGUGC